GACGAACGCUGGCGGCGUGCCUAACACAUGCAAGUCGAACGGAAAGGCCCUGCUUUUGUGGGGUUCUCGAGUGGCGAACGGGUGAGUAACACGUGAGUAACCUGCCCUUGACUUUGGGAUAACUUCAGGUAACUGGGGUUAAUACCGGAUAGGAGCUCCUGCUGCAUGGUGGGGGUUGGAAAGUUUCGGCGGUUGGAGAUGGACUCGCGGCUUAUCAGCUUGUUGGGGGGGUAGUGGUUUACCAAGGCUUUGACGGGUAGCCGACAUGGGAGGGUGACCGGCGACAAUACGACUGAGAGACGGAGCAGUCGGCAAUGGGAGGCAACGGUGGGGAGUAUUACACAGUGGGCGGGAGCGUGUGGCGGCGGCGCCGCGUUCGUGAAGACGGCCUUGGGGUUGUGAAGCGAUUUCGGCUAAGACGAAGAGUGAGUGACGGUACCGGGUGAAGAAGCACCGGCUAACUACGUG
Molecule: ribosomal RNA, 468 nt
Filed under: uncultured bacterium
Lineage: Bacteria
Description: partial 16S ribosomal RNA
Rfam family: Bacterial small subunit ribosomal RNA
Source: RNAcentral